Molecule: unclassified non-coding RNA, 336 nt
Filed under: Hevea brasiliensis (rubber tree)
Lineage: Eukaryota; Viridiplantae; Streptophyta; Magnoliopsida; Malpighiales; Euphorbiaceae
Source: RNAcentral
AGCAAUAUUAUUAGUUACACCAACCCCAUUUUGUUACAGUGUAUGCUUCUGGGGUUACUAAUGAUAUUUGCUUGAACAAUAAAAAAAAAUCUGUGAAUGCUAAUGAUAUUUACUCUGAAAUCAAUUCUUCAAUCCAAAUCUGUGGCAUGCAAUUGUAGUACUUUUCUACCUAGAGAAUUGACAGUUAUAGAAAGCACAAUUGAUGGAUCAUUGACAAAAACAUAACAGGAAGUGUUAUUUUGAAACAUUGCCAACUGUUAGCCAAUAGCCAUUCCUUCUGAUGCAGUAUGGACUACGGAAAGAUAGAAUUUAUGUGUUAUGUUCAUUGCAAAAUUA